GCAUAUCAAUAAGCGGAGGAAAAGAAACUAACAAGGAUUCCCCUUAGUAACGGCGAAGUGAAGCGGGAUGAAGCUCAAAUUUAAAAUCUGGCUGCCUCAGGUGGUCCGAGUUGUAGUCUCGAGAAGUGUUUUCCGCGUUGGCCUGUGUACAAGUCCUUUGGAAUAAGGCGUCAUAGAGGGUGAGAAUCCCGUCCUUGACACAGAUCCCCAAUGCUUUGUGAUGCGCUCUCAAAGAGUCGAGUUGUUUGGGAAUGCAGCUCAAAAUGGGUGGUAAAUUCCAUCUAAAGCUAAAUAUUGGCGAGAGACCGAUAGCGAACAAGUACCGUGAGGGAAAGAUGAAAAGCACUUUGGAAAGAGAGUUAAACAGUACGUGAAAUUGUUGAAAGGGAAACGAUUGAAGUCAGUCAUGCUCGUAGGGAUUCAACCGGUUCUGCCGGCCUAUUUCCCUACUUGCAGGCCAGCAUCAGUUUUGACCGGUGGAAAAGGUUGGAGGGAAUGUGGCAUCCUCGGAUGUGUUAUAGCCCUCUUUCGCAUACAUCGGUUGGGACUGAGGAACGCAGCACGCCUUUAUGGUCGGUCUUCGGACACGUACGUGCUUAGGAUGCUGGCAUAAUGGCUUUAAACGACCCGUCUUGAAACACGGACCAAGGAGUCUAACAUGUUUGCGAGUAUUUGGGUGUCAAACCCGAGUGCGCAAUGAAAGUGAAUGCAGGUGGGAUCCGCAAGGAGCACCAUCGACCGAUCUGGAUCUUUUGUGAUGGAUUUGAGUAAGAGCACAUAUGUUGGGACCCGAAAGAUGGUGAACUAUGCCUGAAUAGGGCGAAGCCAAGAGGAAACUCUGGUGGAGGCUCGUAGCGAUUUCUGACGUGCAAAUCGAUCGUCAAAUUUGGGUAUAGGGGGCGAAAGACUAAUCGAACCAUCUAGUAGCUGGUUCCUGCGA
Molecule: ribosomal RNA, 940 nt
Filed under: Itersonilia pannonica
Lineage: Eukaryota; Fungi; Basidiomycota; Tremellomycetes; Cystofilobasidiales; Mrakiaceae
Description: LSU rRNA
Rfam family: Eukaryotic large subunit ribosomal RNA
Source: RNAcentral